CGUCAAUCUCAUGCAAAAAAUGAUAGACGAACAAUCACUACUGUUUGCAUGUUCUUGGCUGGAAAAGUCGAAGAAACACCUAGGCCUUUGAAGGAUGUCAUCCUGGUUUCUUACGAGCUUAUU
This is a long non-coding RNA of Triticum dicoccoides, 123 nucleotides long. RefSeq lists it as uncharacterized. The transcript has 2 exons. NCBI's taxonomy places the organism in Eukaryota, Viridiplantae, Streptophyta, Magnoliopsida, Poales, Poaceae. The record is from RefSeq and is a predicted model, not a curated record.